RNAcentral lists this ribosomal RNA (507 nucleotides) under Triticum aestivum (bread wheat). RNAcentral describes it as "partial small subunit ribosomal RNA". The record is from RNAcentral. Lineage: Eukaryota; Viridiplantae; Streptophyta; Magnoliopsida; Poales; Poaceae.
AUGCCCUCCAUCCUUGUUGAAAACGCACUUCACUUCAUGCUUACACACGAUGAUGAUGAUCGUAUAGAAAUUCUCAAAUAUGACUUGAGCUCUAAUUGCUUAUCACUAAUUGAUGCACCAUUGUCCGGGGCUAUCGUUAGCGGUUCCACUAUCCUCAUGGCAUUGGAGGAUGGCAGUUUGGGUUUUGCGCAUGUGGACAAGGUAACCCUCAACAUAUGGUCAAGAAAAUUGGAUGUUAAUGGAAUUGUGUCAUGGACUAUGCAUAGAGUCGUCGAACUCAUGAACCUUAUCCCUAUUCAAAAUCCAACCAAAAGGCUUAAACUGAUUGGAUCUGUGGAGGGCAGUGAUAUCAUUUUCAUAACUGCGGACCUUGGCAUCUAUGAGGUUAAUAUCAGGACACUACAAUGGAAGAAGCUAUGGAAGAGAGAGAAAUUCCGUUAUUUGGUUCCAUACAUGAGUUUCUACAAUCCACCAGAAUGGCUGAGACCUUGUGAUGUGGCGCAUUGA